This 471-nucleotide ribosomal RNA is filed under the name Triticum aestivum (bread wheat). RNAcentral describes it as "partial small subunit ribosomal RNA". Lineage: Eukaryota; Viridiplantae; Streptophyta; Magnoliopsida; Poales; Poaceae. The record is from RNAcentral.
CCACCGACCUUAGGCCACUAGCAACGGAAGGCGCAGCGGUUGUUGGCUCACGGUAGGUACUCUUGUUACCUUGGGUCAAGAAUGACCACCCGCAUUUUUCAGAUGAGGUUCAAGAGGUUGGCGUUCGUUGAAACCUCAGGUGGUUAGUGACUAAACAAACUGACUCCUCGUGGAGGUCUUCAUGUACACCACAAUAGACUUCGAACGACCUUGUAUAUGGAGAAAAAAGAAGACGUCAAACAAAAAAUCGUAAUUUGGAAAAAGUUCUACAUUGAUUUCAUAGACGUAUCAGGUCAAACGAAAUUCGUCACAUGUACAAAGAUAGUUCUACGUUUAAAGACAUGUACUACAUGUUUACAUAGUUCAUAGAACAAUUGGUACCACGGUGAACUAUCUAGAGACUUCUUCGUCACUGAAAACAAAUGUACAUAUAUUGUGUGUCUCGCUUGUCAUGACACUAUGGCAAACAAG